GGCUCAGAUUGAACGCUGGCGGCAGGCCUAACACAUGCAAGUCGAACGGUAACAGGAAGAAGCUUGCUUCUUUGCUGACGAGUGGCGGACGGGUGAGUAAUGUCUGGGAAACUGCCUGAUGGAGGGGGAUAACUACUGGAAACGGUAGCUAAUACCGCAUAACGUCGCAAGACCAAAGAGGGGGACCUUCGGGCCUCUUGCCAUCGGAUGUGCCCAGAUGGGAUUAGCUUGUUGGUGGGGUAACGGCUCACCAAGGCGACGAUCCCUAGCUGGUCUGAGAGGAUGACCAGCCACACUGGAACUGAGACACGGUCCAGACUCCUACGGGAGGCAGCAGUGGGGAAUAUUGCACAAUGGGCGCAAGCCUGAUGCAGCCAUGCCGCGUGUAUGAAGAAGGCCUUCGGGUUGUAAAGUACUUUCAGCGGGGAGGAAGGGAGUAAAGUUAAUACCUUUGCUCAUUGACGUUACCCGCAGAAGAAGCACCGGCUAACUCCGUGCCAGCAGCCGCGGUAAUACGGAGGGUGCAAGCGUUAAUCGGAAUUACUGGGCGUAAAGCGCACGCAGGCGGUUUGUUAAGUCAGAUGUGAAAUCCCCGGGCUCAACCUGGGAACUGCAUCUGAUACUGGCAAGCUUGAGUCUCGUAGAGGGGGGUAGAAUUCCAGGUGUAGCGGUGAAAU
RNAcentral lists this ribosomal RNA (677 nucleotides) under Escherichia sp. Its description in RNAcentral is "bacterial SSU rRNA". It matches the Rfam family "Bacterial small subunit ribosomal RNA", at positions 21 to 687 of the family's 1533-position model. The record is from RNAcentral. Lineage: Bacteria; Pseudomonadati; Pseudomonadota; Gammaproteobacteria; Enterobacterales; Enterobacteriaceae.